This 497-nucleotide ribosomal RNA is filed under the name uncultured bacterium. Its description in RNAcentral is "bacterial SSU rRNA". It matches the Rfam family "Bacterial small subunit ribosomal RNA", at positions 15 to 507 of the family's 1533-position model. The record is from RNAcentral.
GAUCCUGGCUCAGAUUGAACGCUGGCGGCAUGCCUUACACAUGCAAGUCGAACGGCAGCACGGACUUCGGUCUGGUGGCGAGUGGCGAACGGGUGAGUAAUGUAUCGGAACGUGCCUGGUAGUGGGGGAUAACUAGUCGAAAGAUUAGCUAAUACCGCAUACGACCUACAGGUGAAAGCAGGGGACCUUCGGGCCUUGUGCUAUCAGAGCGGCCGAUAUCUGAUUAGCUAGUUGGUGGGGUAAAGGCCCACCAAGGCGACGAUCAGUAGCUGGUUUGAGAGAACGACCAGUCACACUGGAACUGAGACACGGUCCAGACUCCUACGGGAGGCAGCAGUGGGGAAUAUUGGACAAUGGGGGCAACCCUGAUCCAGCCAUGCCGCGUGUGUGAAGAAGGCCUUCGGGUUGUAAAGCACUUUAAGUGGGGAGGAAGGCUCGCUGGUUAAUAGUCAGCGGGAGUGACGUUACCCACAGAAUAAGCACCGGCAAACUCCGUG